RNAcentral lists this ribosomal RNA (445 nucleotides) under uncultured bacterium. RNAcentral describes it as "partial 16S ribosomal RNA". It matches the Rfam family "Bacterial small subunit ribosomal RNA", at positions 354 to 796 of the family's 1533-position model. The record is from RNAcentral.
GUGAGGAAUAUUGCGCAAUGGAGGCAACUCUGACGCAGCCAUGCCGCGUGCAGGAAGAAGGCGCUACGCGUUGUAAACUGCUUUUAACCGGGAAGAAACCCCAGGACGUGUCCUGGGUUGACGGUACCGGAGGAAUAAGCACCGGCUAACUUCGUGCCAGCAGCCGCGGUAAUACGAAGGGUGCAAGCGUUAUCCGGAUUCAUUGGGUUUAAAGGGUGCGUAGGCGGAGCGUUAAGUCAGUGGUGAAAUCCUGCAGCUUAACUGUAGACUUGCCAUUGAUACUGGCGCUCUUGAGUGCGCUUGAAGUGGGCGGAAUGUGCCGUGUAGCGGUGAAAUGCUUAGAUAUGGCACAGAACACCAAUUGCGAAGGCAGCUCACUAAGGCGAUACUGACGCUGAGGCACGAAAGCGUGGGGAUCGAACAGGAUUAGAAACCCUUGUAAUCC